This is a non-coding RNA of Lolium perenne, 2570 nucleotides long. Lineage: Eukaryota; Viridiplantae; Streptophyta; Magnoliopsida; Poales; Poaceae. The record is from RefSeq and is a predicted model, not a curated record.
AAUGUUUGAUUGUGUGGCUUGUGUGCUUCUGGUGUGCUUCCUUGUUAAUUGGUAAUUUGACUCAAUAAUUUUCUUCUAAAACUUAUUGGGCCGCGGGUUGGUAAAUUCCGAGCCAAUACCGCUGCAGGUUGGUAAACUCCGAGCCAACGCGCUGGUACUAAGUAAAUGAUAGGCUUGGGGACCCGGGCUAGCACAUCUACAUUGUUGAGCACAUCACACAUAUUUAGAUAUUAUUAUGUAGACAUAUAUGUUUCUAUACCUUCUAGUCGUGUUGUAUUAUUCACUUAAUCCCGUUUACCUUAUGAACCGUUAUUUUUGGCGUCUCCCGACAUAAUAAGAUUUUAUGAACUCCACGGAUGUUUCUUUUUAAGUUAAAAUGUCAAUAUCUAUUCUCUUAUUGCUAUGUGCCUGUCGUGGAUGUCCUUAUCUACAAACAAAACUCUGUCCAAUUUUCGAAUGAACUCUUGACUUUCUAGUUUUUGGUAUAGUGUGGUAGCAUCCUAGGAAGGGUUGAUUCUCGGGAUGUUACAGUUGGUAUCAGAGCCUAGGUUUGUCGAUCUCUGGAUAUAGUUUUUCUAUAAAAAAGGACUUUAGUUUUUAUCUUGGUUGAUUAAACACAUAAAAUUUGACGUAGGAUCUAACAACUUAAAAUUUGACACACUGGUGCACAAUAGGAUGGGCUUUGGGUAUUUAUUGCAUUUACGGUUUAGCAUUUUUAUUUGUUUGUUUAUCUCAUCCUUUUGAGUAUGGAAUGCAUAUGAUUAGGUGUUGUUGAUUUCUUUUGUUGAUUAUUCAUAAUGUGUAAUAUAGUUAUGCCGCCGAGACGUAGAGGCCGAGCUUGUGGCCGAGCUCAUGCAAGGCGGGGUUGGGUUGGCCGCAAUGGCCGUGUGGAGGAAUCAGAUGUGGAGGCUGAGCAGAGUCACCGUAGCGAUGCGGAAGUAAGCCAAUUUGCUAAUAGUGAUGGACGUGGUGCUUCAGACAUGACACUCACUAAGUGGCUGGAUAUGAAGUUGGAGAAGUUUGAGGGAUCAGGAACACCGAUAGAUGCUGCAAGUUGGCUUCGCACCAUGGAGAAAUAUAUGGAUGCCUUGGUGAUGACACCGGAAGACAGAGUUGUUUAUGUAUCUUUUCAGCUGAAGGGCCUCGCGGAUGUUUGGUGUGAAGGAGUCCGUAAAGCUUGUAUACCAGCUCAUGGAGCGCUUACAUGUGACCUUUUUGUUAAGAACUUCACUGCAAAGUAGUACCCAACUUCAUUCAAGGAGAAGAUGGAUGUUGCCCUAAGGAAUAUUAAGCAAGGGAACAAGACCGUGGAUGAGUAUGAUGCCGAGUUUAGUAAGAUUGUUCACUUUGUCGACCAUAUAAAUCAUGAUGAGCCUGAGAAAGCCCGGAGAUUCUUCGAAGGGCUUAAUUCUGAAUAUAGACAUGUCAUGGGAGCAAACCGACCAAAUGACUAUUUCACUGUGCUUGAGCAGGCUAGGGGGAUGGAAUUACAAAUUCAGCUCACCGAGGUAGAGACAGCUCGCAAUAGAUGCACAAGUAGUGGGCAUAAGAGGAGUCAUCAAGAAGGUGCAGAGCUUACUAAGCAACCUGCUUUCAAGAAGUCUAAGCCAGACCAGCAAUCUCAGCCAACACCUGAAACCAUGUCCCAAGUUUCUUCACCUCCCUUUCACACAAGGAGCCAAUUCAUGCGCCCCAUUCCAGGGCAGGGCAUGAUAUGCUUCAGGUGUGGGCAAAAUCACCGUGCCAGAGAGUGUGACUUUUCUGGUUCUUAUAACCAAUGUGGCAAGUCUGGUCACAUGAGCCUCGUUUGCAAAAAAGAAUCCUAAUUCCAUCAUUAAGUGGCAGCCAAUCAACCCUUCUCUAGAAGGUUCAUCUCAUCAUGCAAAUCAAGGGAUUAUUUCUUCGCAUGGGUCAGUCAAAAUGAUGCAAGUUCCUCCUCAGUUCCCACCUCCGCCAACAGGCUAUCACUGGCAGGCAACUCCACUUCCAGCUCCAUAUGCUCAGCUUCAACUACCAGCUCCACCCACCAUACCUCCACAGCAGCAGCAUGUUGGGGAUUCUUCUAUUUUGACAAAUCCAGGAAUAUACACCAGGCCGCCAAUUUCUCAUGCUCCUUUAGAUGGGGUUACAGGUUUUGGAGCUUCGGGUGCGAGGAAGUAGUUAUUGAAUUUGAACACACGUCCGUGGCAAGUGCAUUACGAACCUUGUCGCCUUAAUGUUUGAUUGUGUGGCUUGUGUGCUUCUGGUGUGCUUCCUUGUUAAUUGGUAAUUUGACUCAAUAAUUUUCUUCUAAAACUUAUUGGGCCGCGGGUUGGUAAAUUCCGAGCCAAUACCGCUGCUGCAGGUUGGUAAACUCCGAGCCAACGCGCUGGUACUAAGUAAAUGAUAGGCUUGGGGACCCGGGCUAGCACAUCUACAUUGUUGAGCACAUCACACAUAUUUAGAUAUUAUUAUGUAGACAUAUAUGUUUCUAUACCUUCUAGUCGUGUUGUAUUAUUCACUUAAUCCCGUUUACCUUAUGAACCGUUAUUUUUGGCGUCUCCCGACAUAAUAAGAUUUUAUGAACUCCA